RNAcentral lists this ribosomal RNA (510 nucleotides) under uncultured bacterium. RNAcentral's name for it is "bacterial SSU rRNA". It matches the Rfam family "Bacterial small subunit ribosomal RNA", at positions 28 to 467 of the family's 1533-position model. The record is from RNAcentral.
GACGAACGCUGGCGGCGUGCUUAACACAUGCAAGUCGAACGGUUGAGAGGUGGGAGUUGAGAGGUUAGAAGUGGGAAAAGAAAAAGUCUCACAUCCAACUUCUCACAGUCUCACUUCUCAAUAGUGGCGGACGGGUGAGUAACGCGUGGGUAACCUGCCCUUAACACCGGGACAACAGCGGGAAACUGCUGCUAAUACCGGAUAAUCUCAAGAGAAGGCAUCUUCUUUUGAGGAAAGGUGGCCUCUGAAUAUGCUACCGAUUAAGGAUGGACCCGCGUCUGAUUAGCUAGUUGGUAGGGUAGUGGUCUACCAAGGCGACGAUCAGUAGCCGGCCUGAGAGGGUGACCGGCCACACUGGGACUGAGACACGGCCCAGACUCCUACGGGAGGCAGCAGUGGGGAAUCUUCCGCAAUGGGCGAAAGCCUGACGGAGCAACGCCGCGUGAAUGAAGAAGGCCUUCGGGUCGUAAAGUUCUGUUGAAAGGGAAGAAGUCUCUUUAUGCGAAUAGU